This 471-nucleotide small RNA is filed under the name Pan troglodytes (chimpanzee). RNAcentral describes it as "processed transcript". Lineage: Eukaryota; Metazoa; Chordata; Mammalia; Primates; Hominidae. The record is from RNAcentral.
GCGGCCGCACUGGCAGCCUCCGGGUGUCCGGCCGUGUCCCGAGGAAGUACAAGACCCGGGGUAUUCCCUCAACGGAUACUACACCCAUCCAUUUCAAGGCUAUGAGCACAGACAGCUCAGAUACCAGCAGCCUGGGCCAGGAUCUUCCCCCAGUAGUUUCCUGCUUAAGCAAAUAGAAUUUCUCAAGGGGCAGCUCCCAGAAGCGCCGGUGAUUGGAAAGCAGACACCGUCACUGCCACCUUCCCUCCCAGGACUCCGGCCAAGGUUUCCAGUACUACUUGCCUCCAGUACCAGAGGCAGGAACUGAGUAUCUACCAAGAUCAGGAACAAAGGAUCUUAAAGUUCCUGGAAGAGCUUGGGGAAGGGAAGGCCACCACAGCACAUGAUCUGUCUGGGAAACUUGGGACUCCGAAGAAAGAAAUCAAUCGAGUUUUAUACUCCCUGGCAAAGAAGGGCAAGCUACAGAAAGAG